This 1672-nucleotide ribosomal RNA is filed under the name metagenome. RNAcentral's name for it is "bacterial LSU rRNA". It matches the Rfam family "Bacterial large subunit ribosomal RNA", at positions 1251 to 2925 of the family's 2925-position model. The record is from RNAcentral.
CGAAGGUGGAUUGAGAAGUCUGCUGGAGGUAUCGGAAGUGCGAAGGCUGACAUGAGUAACGAUAAUGCGGGUGAAAAGCCCGCACGCCGAAAGCCCAAGGUUUCCUUGCGCAACGUUAAUCGACGCAGGGUGAGUCGGCCCCUAAGGCGAGGCAGAAAUGCGUAGUCGAUGGAAAGCUGGUUAAUAUUCCAGCACCUCGCGUAAGUGCGAUGGGAGGACGGAGAAGGUUAGGUGAGCCGGGCGUUGGUUGUCCCGGUGAGAGGACUGAGGUGGUGCCCUUAGGCAAAUCCGGGGGUGCAACAUUGAGGUCAAGGACGAGUCCAUUAGGAUUAAGUCACCGAUAUCACGCUUCCAGGAAAAGUCCCUAAGCUUCAGCUUACGCAGACCGUACCGUAAACCGACACAGGUGGGCAGGAUGAGAAUUCUCAGGCGCUUGAGAGAACUCGGGUGAAGGAACUAGGCAAAAUAGCACCGUAACUUCGGGAGAAGGUGCGCCAACCAUGGUUAAUAGCUGAGGUUGGCCGAAGUGACCAGGCCGCUGCGACUGUUUAUCAAAAACACAGCACUCUGCAAACACGAAAGUGGACGUAUAGGGUGUGACGCCUGCCCGGUGCCGGAAGGUUAAUUGAUGGGGUCAGCCGCAAGGCGAAGCUCUUGAUCGAAGCCCCGGUAAACGGCGGCCGUAACUAUAACGGUCCUAAGGUAGCGAAAUUCCUUGUCGGGUAAGUUCCGACCUGCACGAAUGGCGUAACGACAGCGGCGCUGUCUCCACCCGAGACUCAGUAAAAUUGAAAUCGCUGUGAAGAUGCAGCGUUCCCGCGGCAAGACGGAAAGACCCCGUGAACCUUUACUAUAGCUUUACACUGAACGUUGAGUUCGUCUGUGUAGGAUAGGUGGGAGGCUGUGAAACCAGGACGCUAGUUCUGGUGGAGCCAACCUUGAAAUACCACCCUGAUGUGCUUGACGUUCUAACCUGGGCCCGUAAUCCGGGUCGGGGACCGUGUAUGGUGGGUAGUUUGACUGGGGCGGUCUCCUCCCAAAGUGUAACGGAGGAGCUCGAAGGUACGCUCAGCGCGGUCGGACAUCGCGCACUGUGUGCAAAGGCAUAAGCGUGCUUGACUGCAAGAUCGACGGAUCAAGCAGGUAGGAAACUAGGACUUAGUGAUCCGGUGGUUCUGUAUGGAAGGGCCAUCGCUCAACGGAUAAAAGGUACUCCGGGAUAACAGGCUGAUACCGCCCAAGAGUUCAUAUCGACGGCGGUGUUUGGCACCUCGAUGUCGGCUCAUCACAUCCUGGGGCUGUAGUCGGUCCCAAGGGUAUGGCUGUUCGCCAUUUAAAGUGGUACGCGAGCUGGGUUCAGAACGUCGUGAGACAGUUCGGUCCCUAUCUGUCGUGGGCGUUGGAGAUUUGAGAGGGGCUGCUCCUAGUACGAGAGGACCGGAGUGGACGAACCCCUGGUGUUCCGGUUGUCACGCCAGUGGCAUUGCCGGGUAGCUAUGUUCGGAAGCGAUAACCGCUGAAAGCAUCUAAGCGGGAAGCGCGCCUCAAGAUGAGAUCUCCCGGGACACAAGUCCCCUAAAGGAACCAUCAAGACCAGGUGGUUGAUAGGCAGGGUGUGUAAGCGCAGUAAUGUGUUGAGCUUACCUGUACUAAUGAUCCGUGUGGCUUGACC